RNAcentral lists this long non-coding RNA (207 nucleotides) under Elaeis guineensis (African oil palm). Its description in RNAcentral is "long non-coding RNA (EGUI_LNC061220)". The record is from RNAcentral. Lineage: Eukaryota; Viridiplantae; Streptophyta; Magnoliopsida; Arecales; Arecaceae.
GGUAUUGGAUAUCAAAAGUCUAAUUAACAUUUGUAAUUCAUUGCAGGGACUUCGGUCAGUAGAAAAUUCAGAGACGACGAAUGGCUCCUAAAUGUUGGAGAAGGAAGUCUUGUUCCAGUUCUAGCUCUAGAAACUAAUGUUGCCCAGAUAUGGAGCCCCAGAGAGGGGGUGAAUUGGGCUUUUCAAAAUUUUUAUGAUUAGUGUACU